RNAcentral lists this unclassified non-coding RNA (389 nucleotides) under soil metagenome. RNAcentral's name for it is "partial contains 5.8S ribosomal RNA, internal transcribed spacer 2, and large subunit ribosomal RNA". The stretch from base 1 to 122 matches the Rfam family "5.8S ribosomal RNA", at positions 35 to 154 of the family's 154-position model. The record is from RNAcentral.
GAUGAAGAACGCAGCGAAAUGCGAUACUUGGUGUGAAUUGCAGAAUCCCGCGAAUCAUCGAGUUUUUGAACGCAAGUUGCGCCCGAAGCCAUUCGGCCGAGGGCACGUCUGCCUGGGUGUCACGCAUCGUUGCCCCCCCAAACUCCGGUUCGGGCGGGGCGGAAGUUGGCCUCCCGUGCGUGCCUGCGCGCGCGGUUAGCCCAAAAGCGAGUCCUCGGCGACGAGCGCCACGACAAUCGGUGGUUUUUUUACCCUCGUUCCUCGUCGUGCGUGUCCCGUCGCCCGAACGCGCUCUUGUGACCCUCACGCGUCGCCUCGGCGGCGCUCCCAACGCGACCCCAGGUCAGGCGGGACUACCCGCUGAGUUUAAGCAUAUCAAUAAGCGGAGG